Molecule: ribosomal RNA, 1444 nt
Filed under: uncultured organism
Description: SSU rRNA
Rfam family: Bacterial small subunit ribosomal RNA
Source: RNAcentral
AUGAUGAACGCUAGCUACAGGCUUAACACAUGCAAGUCGAGGGGCAGCAUUUUAGUUUGCUUGCAAACUGAAGAUGGCGACCGGCGCACGGGUGAGUAACACGUAUCCAACCUGCCGAUAACUCCGGGAUAGCCCUUCGAAAGAAAGAUUAAUACCGGAUAGCAUACGAAUAUCGCAUGAUAUUUUUAUUAAAGAAUUUCGGUUAUCGAUGGGGAUGCGUUCCAUUAGUUUGUUGGCGGGGUAACGGCCCACCAAGACUACGAUGGAUAGGGGUUCUGAGAGGAAGGUCCCCCACAUUGGAACUGAGACACGGUCCAAACUCCUACGGGAGGCAGCAGUGAGGAAUAUUGGUCAAUGGGCGCGAGCCUGAACCAGCCAAGUAGCGUGAAGGAUGAAGGCUCUAUGGGUCGUAAACUUCUUUUAUAUGGGAAUAAAGUUUUCCACGUGUGGAAUUUUGUAUGUACCAUAUGAAUAAGGAUCGGCUAACUCCGUGCCAGCAGCCGCGGUAAUACGGAGGAUCCGAGCGUUAUCCGGAUUUAUUGGGUUUAAAGGGAGCGUAGGUGGAUUGUUAAGUCAGUUGUGAAAGUUUGCGGCUCAACCGUAAAAUUGCAGUUGAAACUGGCAGUCUUGAGUACAGUAGAGGUGGGCGGAAUUCGUGGUGUAGCGGUGAAAUGCUUAGAUAUCACGAAGAACUCCGAUUGCGAAGGCAGCUCACUAGACUGUCACUGACACUGAUGCUCGAAAGUGUGGGUAUCAAACAGGAUUAGAUACCCUGGUAGUCCACACAGUAAACGAUGAAUACUCGCUGUUUGCGAUAUACAGUAAGCGGCCAAGCGAAAGCAUUAAGUAUUCCACCUGGGGAGUACGCCGGCAACGGUGAAACUCAAAGGAAUUGACGGGGGCCCGCACAAGCGGAGGAACAUGUGGUUUAAUUCGACGAUACGCGAGGAACCUUACCCGGGCUUAAAUUGCAACAGAAUAUAUUGGAAACAGUAUAGCCGUAAGGCUGUUGUGAAGGUGCUGCAUGGUUGUCGUCAGCUCGUGCAGUGAGGUGUCGGCUUAAGUGCCAUAACGAGCGCAACCCUUAUCUUUAGUUACUAACAGGUCAUGCUGAGGACUCUAGAGAGACUGCCGUCGUAAGAUGUGAGGAAGGUGGGGAUGACGUCAAAUCAGCACGGCCCUUACGUCCGGGGCUACACACGUGUUACAAUGGGGGGUACAGAAGGCGGCUACCUGGUGACAGGAUGCUAAUCCCAAAAACCUCUCUCAGUUCGGAUCGAAGUCUGCAACCCGACUUCGUGAAGCUGGAUUCGCUAGUAAUCGCGCAUCAGCCAUGGCGCGGUGAAUACGUUCCCGGGCCUUGUACACACCGCCCGUCAAGCCAUGAAAGCCGGGGGUACCUGAAGUACGUAACCGCAAGGAGCGUCCUAGGGUAAAACUGGUA